Peromyscus eremicus (cactus mouse) is the source of this 888-nucleotide long non-coding RNA. RefSeq lists it as uncharacterized. The record is from RefSeq and is a predicted model, not a curated record. The transcript has 3 exons. Lineage: Eukaryota; Metazoa; Chordata; Mammalia; Rodentia; Cricetidae.
CUCUUCCAUCGGCCAAUGAACGCACGCGGUGCCUAUUCGCCAUGCAAAUCUCCUGGUUUUUUAUUUGAAUGAGGGACUUUGGCCACGCCUCCUGCCUUGAAAAUGAGAACCGAGUGCGCGGUGGUGGCGCUGCCGGCUUUUCUAUCGCUCCCGGAGGUAAUUUUUUUUCGGUUGGCUCCCCCACACACACAAUCACCUCCGAGGCAUCUUUUUUGCGUGGAGAUUCCUCAGUGAGCACCCUCCGUGAAACUUGAGAGAGGAAGUAGGUACGGAUCCAGGCUCCCACUUUGCAGCAAACUUACAGAUCCAUCCACCAUAACUUAAGUGAAUAAAUUUGGAGCGGGUGCCAGGAGAGGCUGGAGGUUUUCUAUGGAGGACUUCUUUCCUAUAGGUGAGGAAAAGAAGAAGGUCUAAGGCCUGAAGUCCAAGGCAUCCCCAGGACUCAGGGGGACAGAAAGAGGAAGACACAAGCUGGUCAGUGGAUCCUCAGAGCACUGGCCAGGGGUCAGGGCUGAAACCCUGAGGAGACAUAAUGCCUAGUACCAGGACUGUCGGAUGAAGCCAGAAGAUGAAAUCGAGCUAAAAAAUGAAGCCUUACUGAAGGGAAAGGGUCAGAGGUGGGCACCUCUGUCUCCAAGAGUACCAGAGACUCAGGGAAGCACUUACACCAAUUGAGAGGGACCACUCACCAAUUGCCUGUGAUAGACAGAAGGCCAAGCGAUUGGUGGGCCAGAAGACACAUCUACUCACUCUCCUCCGCCAGCAUGGCUGCUGUGGGCGGUGGCCAACCACAAGCAGCGCGCUGUUUAACCAACAUUGGUGCCGUUCAGACUCGGAUACACCACCUAUCACCAAGGACCUGCUGUGACUGCUGCCGCCUGCCAUCCA